AUACGUAGGGGGCGAGCGUUGUCCGGAAUGAUUGGGCGUAAAGGGCGCGUAGGCGGCGCGGUAAGUCUGGAGUGAAAGUCCUGCUUUCAAGGUGGGAAUUGCUUUGGAUACUGGGGGGCUUGAGUGCAGGAGAGGUUAUCGGAAUUCCCGGUGUAGCGGUGAAAUGCGUAGAGAUCGGGAGGAACACCAGUGGCGAAGGCGGGUAACUGGACUGCAACUGACGCUGAGGCGCGAAAGUGUGGGGAGCAAACAGGAUUAGAUACCCUGGUAGUCCACACUGUAAACGAUGAAUGCUAGGUGUAAGAGGUAUCGACCCCUUUUGUGCCGGAGUCAACACAAUAAGUAUUCCGCCUGGGGAGUACGGCCGCAAGGUUGAAACUCAAAGGAAUUGACGGGG
RNAcentral lists this ribosomal RNA (397 nucleotides) under uncultured bacterium. RNAcentral's name for it is "partial 16S ribosomal RNA". It matches the Rfam family "Bacterial small subunit ribosomal RNA", at positions 523 to 918 of the family's 1533-position model. The record is from RNAcentral.